This 412-nucleotide ribosomal RNA is filed under the name uncultured bacterium. RNAcentral's name for it is "bacterial SSU rRNA". It matches the Rfam family "Bacterial small subunit ribosomal RNA", at positions 9 to 795 of the family's 1533-position model. The record is from RNAcentral.
GAGUUUGAUCCUGGCUCAGAAUGAACGCUGGCGGCGUGCUUAACACAUGCAAGUCGCACGAGAACGCUUUUGCUUGCAAGAGCUAGUAAAGUGGCGCACGGGUGAGUAACGCGUGGGUAACCUACCCUUGAAUCUGGGAUAACAUCGCGAAAGCGUUGCUAAUACCGGAUAAUAUCAUAGGUAUUUCGGUACUUAUGAUCAAAGGUGGCCUCUUCAUGAAAGCUACUGUUUGGGGACACGCAUUUGAAACUUUAAUACUUGAGUUCAGGUGAGGAGAAUGGAAUUCCAGGUGUAGGGGUGAAAUCUGUAGAUAUCUGGAAGAACACCAGUGGCGAAGGCGAUUCUCUAACCUGAUACUGACCCUGAGGUGCCAAAGCGUGGGGAGCGAACAGGAUUAGAUACCCUGGUAGUC